This 587-nucleotide ribosomal RNA is filed under the name uncultured bacterium. RNAcentral's name for it is "bacterial SSU rRNA". It matches the Rfam family "Bacterial small subunit ribosomal RNA", at positions 338 to 916 of the family's 1533-position model. The record is from RNAcentral.
CCUACGGGAGGCAGCAGUAGGGAAUCUUCCGCAAUGGACGAAAGUCUGACGGAGCAACGCCGCGUGAACGAUGAAGGCCUUCGGGUCGUAAAGUUCUGUUGUCAGGGAAGAACAAGUACCGGAGUAACUGCCGGUACCUUGACGGUACCUGACCAGAAAGCCACGGCUAACUACGUGCCAGCAGCCGCGGUAAUACGUAGGUGGCAAGCGUUGUCCGGAAUUAUUGGGCGUAAAGCGCGCGCAGGCGGUUCCUUAAGUCUGAUGUGAAAGCCCCCGGCUCAACCGGGGAGGGUCAUUGGAAACUGGGGAACUUGAGUGCAGAAGAGGAGAGCGGAAUUCCACGUGUAGCGGUGAAAUGCGUAGAGAUGUGGAGGAACACCAGUGGCGAAGGCGGCUUUCUGGUCUGUAACUGACGCUGAGGCGCGAAAGCGUGGGGAGCAAACAGGAUUAGAUACCCUGGUAGUCCACGCCGUAAACGAUGAGUGCUAAGUGUUAGGGGGUUUCCGCCCCUUAGUGCUGCAGCUAACGCAUUAAGCACUCCGCCUGGGGAGUACGGCCGCAAGGCUGAAACUCAAAGGAAUUGACGG